Molecule: transfer RNA, 73 nt
Filed under: Trichonephila inaurata madagascariensis
Lineage: Eukaryota; Metazoa; Arthropoda; Arachnida; Araneae; Nephilidae
Rfam family: tRNA
About the family: Transfer RNA (tRNA) molecules are approximately 80 nucleotides in length. Their secondary structure includes four short double-helical elements and three loops (D, anti-codon, and T loops).
Source: Rfam by way of RNAcentral
GUCCCUGUAGCCCAGUGGAUAGGACGUUGAACUUCUAAUCCAAAGGUCGUGGGUUCGAAUCACACCAGGGGUA